This 164-nucleotide ribosomal RNA is filed under the name uncultured bacterium. RNAcentral describes it as "partial 16S rRNA". It matches the Rfam family "Bacterial small subunit ribosomal RNA", at positions 355 to 511 of the family's 1533-position model. The record is from RNAcentral.
UAGGGAAUCUUCCACAAUGGGCGAAAGCCUGAUGGAGCAACGCCGCGUGUGUGAUGAAGGCUUUCGGGUCGUAAAGCACUGUUGUAUGGGAAGAACAGCUAGAAUAGGAAAUGAUUUUAGUUUGACGGUACCAUACCAGAAAGGGACGGUUAAAUACGUGCCAG